GAUAUUCUCAUGUUCCCCACCGAUACAUGGACAAUACUUGGUGAUACAGUCAUUUCUUAACAAGUUGACGAUGUGCGAAUUACAGGUGUAUGCUUAUCCAUGAUAUGUGCAAGGUAAUGUAAACUUUAUUUAUUAUGCAAUACCUGUGUUAAAAGCGGCUUUCUGAUUCGUUCCGAGCAGGUGAGCUUUUCACGAACUCACCUGCUCUUCACCGAAAUCGAUAAAGCUGCAUGCUUACGUUGUCGUCCGGGUCUUUUUUGAGCAUUUUCCCGUUGGGUGGGGCAUUUUUUGUAAAGGGACCUUUCUGUGAAAUAAUAUACUAGAAUCGCAUAGCAAUGGCUGAAGGCAUGUGUGUGUGGUCGACAUACCACGCAUGAAUAGGGGGGGUGCCCCAGAAAAUUUUUGAAAUUUGCAGUCCGGAAAUGCCAUUUCCUGUAUUCUGAGCAUCCAAACUUGCUCUAAAAUUUUUUGCUAACUAUACUUGUUUUUGAAAUAAAAGAAGGGGAAAAUACACAUAAAAUUAUUAACAAUAAUUUGUCGGCAAUACUUAGUGGUAGAAAAACGUAACAAUUUAAACAAGAACAAAGCCUAAAACUUACUUUCCAUUUAUCUAUUAUUUGUUAUUCUUCGCUGGUUUGUUUGUAUCAAUUUAGGAAAAAGGGAGGGGGGGGGGCAUGUGAUUUCGUCGGGGCACAGGGGGGGGGACUUCGGGCAUUUGUUAAAAUUGUUCCAUAAUUCGCCGGCAUCUCUAUAACCAAUACUCAUUUUUUAAUAUUUCGUUUCAGGAAGAAGGAAGAUUUAGCUUCAUGUCUGACAACUGAAACACUGAAAAAUACUUCUGAACCAACUCCAUGAGCCGCCAUCUUCAUUGGUUUUUAAAACACACAACAAGUAUUAAUUAUAUAAGUAGCUUUAGAGAUUUCCGCGCAGUAGUAGAUGCGUGAAAUAGAAAAUCACGAUGCGUUGAUAUUUUUAACAUGUG
This is a non-coding RNA of Paramuricea clavata, 982 nucleotides long. The record is from the annotation of a GenBank genome assembly. Lineage: Eukaryota; Metazoa; Cnidaria; Anthozoa; Malacalcyonacea; Plexauridae.